This 447-nucleotide ribosomal RNA is filed under the name uncultured Nitrosomonadales bacterium. Its description in RNAcentral is "bacterial SSU rRNA". It matches the Rfam family "Bacterial small subunit ribosomal RNA", at positions 202 to 645 of the family's 1533-position model. Lineage: Bacteria; Pseudomonadati; Pseudomonadota; Betaproteobacteria; Nitrosomonadales. The record is from RNAcentral.
UAAGACCUCAUGCUUUUGGAGCGGCCGAUGUCUGAUUAGCUAGUUGGUGAGGUAAUGGCUCACCAAGGCGACGAUCAGUAGUUGGUCUGAGAGGACGGCCAGCCACACUGGGACUGAGACACGGCCCAGACUCCUACGGGAGGCAGCAGUGGGGAAUUUUGGACAAUGGGCGCAAGCCUGAUCCAGCAAUGCCGCGUGAGUGAAGAAGGCCUUCGGGUUGUAAAGCUCUUUUAGUCGGGAAGAAAAGGUCGUGACUAAUAAUCAUGAUUCAUGACGGUACUGACAGAAAAAGCACCGGCUAACUACGUGCCAGCAGCCGCGGUAAUACGUAGGGUGCAAGCGUUAAUCGGAAUUACUGGGCGUAAAGGGUGCGCAGGCGGUUUUGUAAGUCAGAUGUGAAAUCCCCGGGCUUAACCUGGGAAUUGCGUUUGAAACUACAAAGCUAGA